This 440-nucleotide ribosomal RNA is filed under the name uncultured bacterium. RNAcentral describes it as "partial 16S ribosomal RNA". It matches the Rfam family "Bacterial small subunit ribosomal RNA", at positions 338 to 795 of the family's 1533-position model. The record is from RNAcentral.
CCUACGGGAGGCUGCAGUGGGGAAUAUUGCACAAUGGGCGAAACCCUGAUGCAGCGACGCCGCGUGAAGGAAGAAGUAUUUCGGUAUGUAAACUUCUAUCAGCAGGGAAGAAAAUGACGGUACCUGACUAAGAAGCCCCGGCUAACUACGUGCCAGCAGCCGCGGUAAUACGUAGGGGGCAAGCGUUAUCCGGAUUUACUGGGUGUAAAGGGAGCGUAGGCGGUUUAGCAAGUCAGAAGUGAAAGCCCGGGGCUCAACUCCGGGACUGCUUUUGAAACUGUUGAACUAGAGUGCAGGAGAGGUAAGUGGAAUUCCUAGUGUAGCGGUGAAAUGCGUAGAUAUUAGGAGGAACACCAGUGGCGAAGGCGGCUUACUGGACUGUAAAUGACGCUGAGGCUCGAAAGCGUGGGGAGCAAACAGGAUUAGAUACCCGUGUAGUC